This 585-nucleotide ribosomal RNA is filed under the name uncultured bacterium. RNAcentral describes it as "bacterial SSU rRNA". It matches the Rfam family "Bacterial small subunit ribosomal RNA", at positions 338 to 916 of the family's 1533-position model. The record is from RNAcentral.
CCUACGGGAGGCAGCAGUGGGGAAUUUUGGACAAUGGGCGCAAGCCUGAUCCAGCCAUUCCGCGUGCAGGAUGAAGGCCUUCGGGUUGUAAACUGCUUUUGUACGGAACGAAACGGUUCUCUCUAAUACAGGGGGCUAAUGACGGUACCGUAAGAAUAAGCACCGGCUAACUACGUGCCAGCAGCCGCGGUAAUACGUAGGGUGCAAGCGUUAAUCGGAAUUACUGGGCGUAAAGCGUGCGCAGGCGGUUUUGUAAGACAGAGGUGAAAUCCCCGGGCUCAACCUGGGAACUGCCUUUGUGACUGCAGGGCUGGAGUACGGCAGAGGGGGAUGGAAUUCCGCGUGUAGCAGUGAAAUGCGUAGAUAUGCGGAGGAACACCGAUGGCGAAGGCAAUCCCCUGGGCCUGUACUGACGCUCAUGCACGAAAGCGUGGGGAGCAAACAGGAUUAGAUACCCUGGUAGUCCACGCCCUAAACGAUGUCAACUGGUUGUUGGGUCUUCACUGACUCAGUAACGAAGCUAACGCGUGAAGUUGACCGCCUGGGGAGUACGGCCGCAAGGUUGAAACUCAAAUGAAUUGACGG